This is a non-coding RNA of Trichonephila inaurata madagascariensis, 82 nucleotides long. The record is from the annotation of a GenBank genome assembly. Lineage: Eukaryota; Metazoa; Arthropoda; Arachnida; Araneae; Nephilidae.
GGAGAGAAAACUCAGUGGUAAGAGCACUCGACUACUAAUUGAGAGGUCCCCGCGCGCGGUUCAACCUCGGGUGUCCUCUUCA